This 301-nucleotide ribosomal RNA is filed under the name uncultured bacterium. RNAcentral's name for it is "partial 16S ribosomal RNA". It matches the Rfam family "Bacterial small subunit ribosomal RNA", at positions 509 to 807 of the family's 1533-position model. The record is from RNAcentral.
CAGUAGCCGCGGUAAUACAGAGGGUGCAAGCGUUAAUCGGAAUUACUGGGCGUAAAGCGCGCGUAGGUGGUUUGUUAAGUUGGAUGUGAAAGCCCCGGGCUCAACCUGGGAACUGCAUCCAAAACUGGCAAGCUAGAGUACGGUAGAGGGUGGUGGAAUUUCCUGUGUAGCGGUGAAAUGCGUAGAUAUAGGAAGGAACACCAGUGGCGAAGGCGACCACCUGGACUGAUACUGACACUGAGGUGCGAAAGCGUGGGGAGCAAACAGGAUUAGAGACCCGCGUAGUCCCUGUCUCUUAUAC